This 520-nucleotide ribosomal RNA is filed under the name Triticum aestivum (bread wheat). RNAcentral's name for it is "partial small subunit ribosomal RNA". The record is from RNAcentral. Lineage: Eukaryota; Viridiplantae; Streptophyta; Magnoliopsida; Poales; Poaceae.
GUGCUGAGGGAGCAGAGAGGCCUUAGCGGUGGUGGUAACGGAGCAGAGGGAGGAGGCUGGGCGGAGUAGAUGGAACGUGGCUGGGAGGGGUGGAGGGUGGAGUAUCGAGACCUCUGACGGCCUAGGCGGUGUAGGGGUGGGUUGGCAGGGAGAGCGCAGGGUAGGAUCAGAGAAGUGCACCGAGGAGCGGCGCGAUGGACGCCGCCGACGUAGUCCACUACAGGCCGCUUAGGGCGGUGGCGCUUCGUGUCGAUCUCCAGGGAAACGAGGCACCUCGGGAGGGUAGGUCGAUCUAGGUCGCGAGCGCCCGUGGUUUCGGGUGGGCGCUGGGUAGGGGGUACCGAUCCCAAAGCCCGCAGCCUAGGCCACAGCCACCGGUACAACAACAGCAGGAGCAGAGUAGGCUGCACGCCCCUCCUUGUAGGUCAACUGUUGGAACGACGCCGAGCCCUAGUCCGUCGGUACUCGAAGGAGGAGGAGGCCUAAGUCCACUCACCCAGGUUAGGAGGGAAACGAGACC